Non-coding RNA from Vibrio harveyi, 174 nucleotides. The record is from Rfam. NCBI's taxonomy places the organism in Bacteria, Pseudomonadati, Pseudomonadota, Gammaproteobacteria, Vibrionales, Vibrionaceae.
UUCACUGUGAGGUGAAAUCUGAAGGAAGCAAAUGGCAAAACUUGGUUGUGACGAACAGAAAUCUGAUAGUAGGUCACUACAACUUGGGCAACCUAGCCAUAGAUAGAAUAGCCCAAUGCCUCGACGGGAAGUGUGUAGUGAUAAAUCAGGCACGGCCAAGGGAAAGAGCAACGU